RNAcentral lists this ribosomal RNA (789 nucleotides) under uncultured bacterium. RNAcentral's name for it is "bacterial SSU rRNA". It matches the Rfam family "Bacterial small subunit ribosomal RNA", at positions 8 to 796 of the family's 1533-position model. The record is from RNAcentral.
AGAGUUUGAUCCUGGCUCAGGAUGAACGCUAGCGGGAGGCCUAACACAUGCAAGUCGAACGGGAUUGAGAGCUUGCUCUCAUGAGAGUGGCGCACGGGUGAGUAACGCGUAUGCAACCUACCUAUAACUGAGGGAUAGCCCAUAGAAAUGUGGAUUAAUACCUCAUAGUUCUUUUGGUCCGCAUGGAUUAAAAGAUAAAGCUCCGGCGGUUAUAGAUGGGCAUGCGUGACAUUAGCUAGUUGGUAAGGUAACGGCUUACCAAGGCUACGAUGUCUAGGGGUUCUGAGAGGAUGAUCCCCCACACUGGUACUGAGACACGGACCAGACUCCUACGGGAGGCAGCAGUGAGGAAUAUUGGUCAAUGGGCGCAAGCCUGAACCAGCCAUCCCGCGUGCAGGAUGAAGGCCCUAUGGGUCGUAAACUGCUUUUAUACACCAAGAAAAACACCCACGUGUGGGUGCCCGACGGUAGUGUAUGAAUAAGCAUCGGCUAACUCCGUGCCAGCAGCCGCGGUAAUACGGAGGGUGCAAGCGUUGUUCGGAAUCACUGGGCGUAAAGGGCGCGUAGGCGGUUUGAUAAGUCAGAUGUGAAAGCCCACGGCUUAACCGUGGAAGUGCAUUUGAUACUGUUAGACUUGAGUACCAGAGGGGAAAGUGGAAUUCCCGGUGUAGAGGUGAAAUUCGUAGAUAUCGGGAGGAAUACCGGUGGCGAAGGCGACUUUCUGGCUGGAUACUGACGCUGAGGCGCGAAAGCGUGGGGAGCAAACAGGAUUAGAUACCCUGGUAGUCC